AGGAGACCCCCUACCGCAUCCAUGUCCAUGGUUCAAGGACCUCAUAUUGUAUUAAAUCAGUCAUCCCAACAUCCAAAUCUCCGAAUCUGCAGUUAAUCUCAUGAAACAAUCAGUCUCACAAAACACCACAGCCGCUUAUAAUACAGAGUGGCAGUCUUACACCAAAUAUUGCUCCGUCACAUUCAUGCCUUACUUCCGAAUCUUCCAUCAUAGAAUUCAUUACUUAUUGCUUUUUAAAACGCAAUCUCUCCCUUUCCACCAUACGCCAAUACUUGUCAGGACUACAGUUUCACUCUCGUUUGCUCGGAAUCACUAUCCCUCCCCCAUCUCAUCUUCCUUGGAUACAAAUGCUGCUCCGUGGGAUUCAACAAACUGCUUCCAAACCUUCAUCUUCCAAGUUGCCUCUCACAAAGGAAGUCCUGGAAUCCAUGAUCAACACUCUACACUCAGGCUGCUUUUCUCCUUACAAAGAUGCCCUCCUGGAAGCAAUGUUCAUCUCGGCCUUCUGUGGAUGACAUGCCUGAACCAGUCAUUCGACCCAUCCUCGGACCUCUGCAUAGGAGAUCUCCAUCGUCAAUCCCAGGUCAUGUACUCUUACUUUUAAAACAUUCAAAAUCAGACCGAGAAAAGAAAGGCGUGCAUGUUUAUUUAACAAAAACACAUUGUAUUAUUUGUCCUGUUUCUGCUCUUUUCAGCUAUCUGUCACUGCGUCCGAUGGCCAGCAACCAGGAUCCCCUGUUUCUCACCCCGGAAGGGAUAGUCGUGUCCAGGAACUGGUUCUGUGACCACCUUCAUUGGUGUCUCCUUCGCGCUGGGCUUCCUUCUGUAAAUGGUUUCAUAUUUCUUAUAGUGGUGAGCAAGCCAGGAGCGAGAAAUAAGUCCCGAGAUGACCUGCUGCUCUUACCACUUCUGACGAGGGGGGUUGCAGUUGUAAGACAGGCCACUUGGUAAAGUGAUGUCAUCUGUGUACAACUGGAUUUCUACUUCUGAAAAUACUUUUAAGGCAGUGUGACAGAGACAAAAUGAUUCUUGGUGAUGCAUCUCCCUCCCGACCUGUGAGGGCGCUGUGUAAAGGGAACAGAGUGCCCUGGACUGGAUGGCCACACAAUUAAUUCCCAGGAUUAGGCAGAGGCAAAUGUCAUUGCACAGCUCCCUUCGCCGCAACUGCCCAACCGCAUUUCACCUAAGCAGCUGUGAACCCACAUUGUACCUGCUCACCCGGCAAAGAACUCUAUUCUGAAAAAGCUUGUGCUGCAGAACGAAAAACAACAGAGAAGCAUUAACAGCCUGAAGUGGCAAAUUGUACAUCUGCACGAAGCAGUCGGAUCUGUUACCAAACUUGUGAGAAUACCUUACGCAUGCAGAGUCACUAUGAGAAUGAACCACUGGAGAGUACACAGAUGUGCGAAGCAAUACCUGAAGAGUGUGUUGCAUACUCUGGGCAUGACAGUACUUUCUUGCAAGAGGACUCAAUGCAUUUCACCCAAGAUCCCAUUGUGCAAAACCAGGUACUAUGCAGUACCACUGUUCUGCCAGACAUUGUAAUCAACAGCAUUAGCCUAGAAAAGGAAGUGGAAAUCCAUGUCUUGAGCCGAGGAAGAGUGGAAAGAUCUGCUGCAUUGUUGUUCAGGGCGUUCGUUCAUUACAACUGAACGGUAUCACGAGUGGUCAAGCAAUGUAGAGGCAAAAAAAGGGCUGCCUGCGAACCUGAAGCACAUUCUAUGGGGGUACGGGCAGGCGGUUCAGAGUGGAACCACAGCACAAUAAACUUGUAAGGGGAUCAAAUAAACGAACUAAUUUUGCUAACGUUAAAAUUAGCGCAUAUAAUGCAUGAUGGAAAAAAAUGUAAAACUAUAAUAAAAUAAACUUUUCAAAAGAAGAUUUUGUGCAAACUGCUAUAUGUACAUACAAAAUUGUGAAAACUAAUUCAUUAUUUACAAAAAUAACAUAAAAGGCUUUUUUUUCACAUUAGCCUACUGCAUAGCACGACUUCAAAAAAUGAAAAAAAACUAUAAUAAAAUACACAUUUCAAAAUAAAAUAUUGUGUAACCAGCUGUAAACUGGUUAUAUGUAGGCCUACACACAGAAUUUUAAAAUCAAAAUAAUUAUUUAUAAAAAACAAAAUAACUCCGUUCACAUUGUGUAACGGGAAUGCACAUUCAGGGAAACAUACUUCAAAGUAGCCCCCAUAUUAGCACAAUCCACACAGAUUACGCUUAUCAGCUUGUCGUGUGCAUUUAGCACAUACUGCUUUUUCACACUGGGCACAGAUAUCAGACAUUAUAUUUUUAUUGCAUUUAGUUACCUUGCAUUGUUUUCUGUUGCGUGUGUCACUUGACACUCUUUCCCUGGUGCAUUCAUUGUACAAAACAAAGGAAUUGAUGGCUGCCAUGUCCAGUACAUUGUGAAAUACAGCACCUGGACACCGGUGAUUUGCUUUCACUGAGUAAUAAGUUUUGUGCAGAUGGUGGAAACUCUCUUUUCGCUUUGUUUACUGUUCCAACCAGGCCGUGUUUUGCUAAUUACAGUGAAAUAAAAAAAAAAAUGCCAUUGGUAAGAUUCAUCUCUUUUCCUAAGCACGGUUACAUCAGCCUAACACAUUGUCACCCAGUCUCUGACCAGCUGGGCGAGUUUCAUCUUUGCACAGGUAGGGGUAGGGUCCGUUGCCAACCAAAACUUGAUCCCAAAUUCGACAGGUUUGUUUGACAUGCAUUGUGUCCAGCGACACCGUGCUUUUGACAGCUGCUUGUCCAUGUAUUGUUUUAUGUUUAGCUUGAAACAGGCAAUGCUGUUUUCAAUGAAGUCGUUCCAAAUUUCUGCUGCCAAUGCAAAUAUAUCUGUAGAUGCUCUCAAAUCAAAACGCAAAAAUCUCAAGAUUUCUCAAAAAAAUGAUUGUAAUAGUAACAUUAUAAGACAGCAGACUAUAUAUGCUCACGUAGACAACCAGACAGCAGUUAUACAAGGAAUUGAUAGGAUUACGAUAACACGAUAGAUAUUUAGAUAACACAUAUCUAGACUUCAAGAGCAAUAUUUUAUUCAAAUUCAUACUGCUAUAAACUCAGCAGGGGUACAGAUAACAAACUGGCUUGUAUACAUAUAAAAAAUAGCGUAUUGUAGGUUAUAUUGACAAUGAAAGCAUGUAUUGUAACAAGCCAUCAAAAUGACUACUUUUGGCGGUUCUAGGUAGAAGUGCUCAUAACAUUUUUUUAUUUUUGCGAUUCUGACUUUCAAACGCCGUCAGUAUAUUUAAUACGUGUAUUUAGGAAAAGUCAAGAACAGACCACCGCAGAUCUUUAACACACGCAGAAUAAUUUAAAUUUUAAAAGUGAAAACCAUAAAAAUGACUACUGUGGUGGUUCCAGUGUUAAACACUGUGGUGUUUAUUGUGUAAAAACUUAAAGCAUUUGUUUUUGUAUGCAAUUUAUUCAAAUAAACAUUGUAUUCACAGUACAUUCUUUAUGUGUAUUUAUUCGGUUUACAAAAUAAUCCUCACACACCCAAACGUAAAGCAGAACACAUUUCUUAACACCUCUCCCCACAACACAUCUGCCUCCACCCAUUCGACAGCAUGUGAAUCACUUAAAUUCCCUUCUCCCAGUGUGAAGAUUUAUUUUUGGUGAUUACUGGCGCACAUCCACAACAGCGAAAUAUCAAAAGAAAACAACACAAUGACAAAUUAAUCCUGUGUAAAAAAUCUAAAUCAAAACAAGAAACAGAUAUCUUCACAAUCUCUUAAAUAAACAAAACUAGAUUAUUUUUUUAGAACAUUUUCUUUUACACAAAAUAAAACGUGUUGUAAACAUGUAGAAAAAAAAAUACUCUCUGUAGCCCACAUUAAAAAGAAACACUACUGAAAUCUGUUUAUGCCGCAAGCUGGAACAGCACAAAACAUAUAUAGGCUUAUAUUGUAUUAAAAAAUAAUAUUCAACACAAACUAUACCGCAAAUGAAUAGGAAUCUCAGAGCUGAUUUCAGGAAUGUGCCAAUUUAAAGCAAACGGGCAAUAUAGCCUAUAACCUAUCAGAAGAUUAAAAAAGAAAUCUUGCAGUGUCACAAGGGAAUUCAGUGAUAGUUUCUAAAGAAAACGGCAGGCAUUUUUAUUAAAGUGCAUGUGUUUAUUUGAUUUGUCAAAUUCUUGUUCUUAAAAAGCUCCACAUGGGGUUUGUGUUUGUGUGUGCAGGAGUGGGAACGCAGCGUUUAGAGCUUGGAAUGACGAGUACGAGAGAGUGAAAUAGACCAGUAAAUGGAGCAUCCCGACUCAGUACUGGGCUGAUAUGCCAGUGUUGAAUAAUGAACGUGAGUGGCUUGAGUGAUUUUAGCCUGGCGAUAGCCGACCAGGAAUUUAGGAAGUGAAACAGAAUAGGCUAUACUGUGAUGCUGGUUUCUCUCUCUCUGUCUAUAUCUCUAUGUUCUCUCCCCUGCACUGACAUUGUGUGUGUGUGUGUGUGUGUGUGGAUUUUUGUAUAGACCACGAUAUUUUGUUUUUUUGUAUUAUGACAGUUUAACUGUGUCCUUAAAAAUGCACAUUCCCUCUAUUCGCUGGGUAGCAGCGUUGUUGCACUUUAAUACAUGACCUCAUUAAUAUGAACCUUGUUUAACCGUUCAAAAUCUCAUUACCUGCAUGUGGAUAGAAUGAUUGUCUCUUAAACAAGUACCUUGUAAACAAUGUGUGGCUACUUCAGAAUUUUACAAUAAACAAAUGUCUUUUAA
Long non-coding RNA from Acipenser ruthenus (sterlet), 4709 nucleotides. RefSeq lists it as uncharacterized. The transcript is spliced from 4 exons. Lineage: Eukaryota; Metazoa; Chordata; Actinopteri; Acipenseriformes; Acipenseridae. The record is from RefSeq and is a predicted model, not a curated record.